Xenia sp. Carnegie-2017 is the source of this 163-nucleotide long non-coding RNA. RefSeq lists it as uncharacterized. The transcript is spliced from 3 exons. The record is from RefSeq and is a predicted model, not a curated record. Lineage: Eukaryota; Metazoa; Cnidaria; Anthozoa; Malacalcyonacea; Xeniidae.
GCUACAAAAGACGAAAUCUUUGUUUCCUCUCUAUUCUAAGGACUGCUCCGAAUUAGUUUUUACGUCUUCUGACCCGAUUUUUAUCGAUCAAAACAAAUCAAGGAACUUAAAAGCAACUAAAUCUGAAUCUGAUAGCUUACCUUGUGAAUUCAAUAACAAAAAA